RNAcentral lists this small RNA (1124 nucleotides) under Arabidopsis thaliana (thale cress). RNAcentral's name for it is "ATSL110320". Lineage: Eukaryota; Viridiplantae; Streptophyta; Magnoliopsida; Brassicales; Brassicaceae. The record is from RNAcentral.
AUGAAGUUAAUAAUAAUACGCAAUGUAACAUUUUUCCGCUACCGUUAAGUUUGUAAUUGUUUGAAAAAUAAUAUGUCAAACGAAGCCCUCGCGACGAAGAGUUCAACUCCACCUUUAGAGUUUUUAAAAUAUAAUGUAUGUGAACGUGCAGACGUUUACAAUCUUAUUAUAUAAAGUAUGGUUUUCAAAGUUGCUAACUCAAAGGAUUGUGCCACGUGUCAAGUCAAACGAUCAGAUGUUUACAUGUGUCAUUCAAAAUUUAUUUUUUUAUUCUCUAAAAAAUAGAAAAUCUUAAAAAGUAAACAAAUUUACAUAUACUAAUUUAUAUGUCUAUAUAUUUAUAAACAAUUAACAUUUAUUCAACAAAAGGAAAAAUAACAAAUUUGUCUUUAACUCAUGUAAUCAUAAGUGAAAAUAGAACAUUUUGAGAAAAAUAGCUUAGUUUAUAGGAUUUAACUUUUCAAUUAUUUUCAUUUAUUAAUUUUAACUCAUUUAAUAUUAAUUUGCAUGAUGUAAAAUUAACUUACGAGAUUACGGCAUAUAUAGAAAAUAUAUUUUCAACAAUGUUUGGUUUCUAAAUAUUUUUGUGGAUUUCUUUUUUUUAUUAAUUAUUAGCCCUAGGCGUUUGGGUAUCCGGAUCGGGUAUUUUGGGUUCGGGUUUUCGGGUUUAGAAGUUUAGGACCCGUUCGGGUAAUUUAAGAUUUCGGGUCGGGUUCGGUUUGGGUUCGGGUUCGAGUUUAUUUAUAUAUUGAAAUAUCAAAUUUUGUGUGCAAAUCUAUUAAAUUACUUAAAAUUUCAAAAAUUUCCAAAACAACACGAGUAGUUUUGCUUGAAUAUAUCUAAAAAUACACAAAAAUAACUAAAAUAUCCAAAAAAUCCUAAUAUUUUCUAUAUAUAAGUAUAAAUAUAACUAAUAUAUACUUAUAUUUGAAAUAUGUUUGGAUACCUAUUCGGGUUCGGGUUCGAGUUUUUCAGAUUUUGAAGUUUAGACCCGUUCGAAUAUUUGAAAAUUUCGGGUACACCCGCCUAAAUAGACGGGCCUUAUCUAGUAUACAUAUAAUGUUUAUUCCGUAUUUUCGGAAGUACGAGCUAAAGUUGCAAAAAUUGAUGAAGUGGAGGUUUUU